GCCGGGCGUGGUGGUGCAUGCCUUUAAUCCCAGCACUCGGGAGGCAGAGGCAGGCAGAUUUCUGAGUUCGAGGCCAGCCUGGUCUACAAAGUGAGUUCCAGGACAGCCAGGGCUAUACAGAGAAACCCUGUCUUGAAAAAACAAAAACAAAAAAAACUUCUUGACCCUAUUUAUUUAUUUUAAUAGUUUUUGUUUUUUUGACACAGGGUUUCUCUGUGUAGCCCUGACUGUCCUGGAACUCAGUCUGUAGACCAGGCUGGCCUCGAACUCAGAGAUCCACCUGUCU
RNAcentral lists this long non-coding RNA (286 nucleotides) under Mus musculus (house mouse). RNAcentral's name for it is "long non-coding RNA chr5:134201865-134202151". Lineage: Eukaryota; Metazoa; Chordata; Mammalia; Rodentia; Muridae. The record is from RNAcentral.